RNAcentral lists this ribosomal RNA (254 nucleotides) under uncultured bacterium. Its description in RNAcentral is "partial 16S ribosomal RNA". It matches the Rfam family "Bacterial small subunit ribosomal RNA", at positions 524 to 776 of the family's 1533-position model. The record is from RNAcentral.
UACGGAGGGUGCAAGCGUUACCCGGAAUCACUGGGCGUAAAGGGCGUGUAGGCGGAUCACUCAGUCUGGUUUUAAAGACCGGGGCUCAACUCCGGAUCUGCGGUGGGUACGGGCAGACUAGAGUGAUGUAGGGGAGACUGGAAUUCCUGGUGUAGCGGUGAAAUGCGCAGAUAUCAGGAGGAACACCGGUGGCGAAGGCGGGUCUCUGGGGCCGUAACUGACGCUGAGGCGCGACAGCGUGGGGAGCAAACAGG